AACGAACGCUGGCGGCAUGCCUAACACAUGCAAGUCGAACGAGACCUUCGGGUCUAGUGGCGCACGGGUGCGUAACGCGUGGGAACCUGCCCUUAGGUUCGGAAUAACUCCCCGCAAGGGGUGCUAAUACCGGAUCAUGUCUUCGGACCAAAGAUUUAUCGCCUUUGGAUGGGCCCGCGUUGGAUUAGCUAGUUGGUAGGGUAAAAGCCUACCAAGGCGACGAUCCAUAGCUGGUCUGAGAGGAUGAUCAGCCACACUGGGACUGAGACACGGCCCAGACGCCUACGGGAGGCAGCAGUGGGGAAUAGUGGACAAUGGGCGAAAGCCUGAUCCAGCAAUGCCGCGGGAGUGAUGAAGGCCUGAGGGUUGUAAAGCUCUUUUACCCGGGAUGAUAAUGACAGUACCGGGAGAAUAAGCUCCGGCUAACUCCGUG
This 433-nucleotide ribosomal RNA is filed under the name uncultured bacterium. RNAcentral's name for it is "partial 16S ribosomal RNA". It matches the Rfam family "Bacterial small subunit ribosomal RNA", at positions 29 to 507 of the family's 1533-position model. The record is from RNAcentral.